This 396-nucleotide ribosomal RNA is filed under the name uncultured bacterium. Its description in RNAcentral is "partial 16S ribosomal RNA". It matches the Rfam family "Bacterial small subunit ribosomal RNA", at positions 523 to 918 of the family's 1533-position model. The record is from RNAcentral.
AUACGUAGGUGGCAAGCGUUGUCCGGAAUUAUUGGGCGUAAAGCGCAUGUAGGCGGUUUGGUAAGUCGGUCGUGAAAAUGCGGUGCUUAACGCCGUAUGGCGAUUGAAACUGCUGAACUUGAGUGCAGGAGAGGAAAGGGGAACUCCCAGUGUAGCGGUGAAAUGGGUAGAUAUUGGGAAGAAACCCGGGGGCGAAGGGGCCUUUCUGGACUGUGCCUGACGCUCAGAUGCGAAAGCCAGGGUAGCGAACGGGAUUAGAUACCCCGGUAGUCCUGGCCGUAAACGAUGGGUACUAGGUGUGGGAGGGAUCGACUCCUUCCGUGCCGGAGUUAACGCAAUAAGUACCCCGCCUGGGGAGUACGGCCGCAAGGCUUAAACUCAAAGGAAUUGACGGGG